Molecule: ribosomal RNA, 260 nt
Filed under: uncultured Rhodococcus sp.
Lineage: Bacteria; Bacillati; Actinomycetota; Actinomycetes; Mycobacteriales; Nocardiaceae
Description: partial 16S ribosomal RNA
Rfam family: Bacterial small subunit ribosomal RNA
Source: RNAcentral
CCGCGGUAAUACGUAGGGUGCAAGCGUUGUCCGGAAUUACUGGGCGUAAAGAGCUCGUAGGCGGUUUGUCGCGUCGUCUGUGAAAACUCGAGGCUCAACCUCGAGCUUGCAGGCGAUACGGGCAGACUUGAGUACUGCAGGGGAGACUGGAAUUCCUGGUGUAGCGGUGAAAUGCGCAGAUAUCAGGAGGAACACCGGUGGCGAAGGCGGGUCUCUGGGCAGUAACUGACGCUGAGGAGCGAAAGCGUGGGUAGCGAACA